GCCUAUGACUAGCCUAGACGAUUGCUCUCAAACGGCUAAACCAACCAGAUUAAAAUGCGCUGUUUUCGAUUAAUACGAAAUUUCAGUCCAUAAGUUUUAUAUCUAUGUUUUACACCCCCGUAAUAUGUAGAACUAAUUUGCUAAUAAUUUAACAAAUUGUAAUUUAUUUAUUUAUUUUGGCAGAUUCUGUAUUCAGGUGGCCGUAAAAUUAAUGUGAUUAUUCGUUAAACACGUCAUAGGAGAAACAACUACAAAACAGGCGUAGAGCAGACAGGAUAGCCUACAGUAUGUAGCUCACGGUAGCCCAUCAACGUCUUGGAAUGUAGGCCAACUUUCUCGUUUCAGAACUCCAGCUCCUACAAAAAUUGAUUGCUUGUAAAGCGUAACCACGUCCUCUGGUGGCACAAUGAGGAUAUAGACCAGUGUGUGAAGUGACAGUUUACAAUGUACAGCUGGGGGGUGGCUUGUCAAGGACCAAGGAACAAGAGGAACCAGAUUCAAGACGGAUCCCACCCAACAUGAAACAGGAGGGCAGUGGCACUAUUAUAAAAUAAUAAAAAAAAUACUAUGAAAUAAAUAAAAUGGAUUAUGGAAAGUUAAAGGAUGAACAUAAAAUUUCAGCAUACAUAUUGCCAUUUAAUUCCUGGGAAUUUCCAUCUAUCCAUACAGGAUAUGGGACAACUUCCUUGGCUGUACAGUCCUGUUGGUCCUGUCCUGAAAUGUCAUAUCUCUCCCUUUACUGCAGCCUACUUGCUCCCAGUAGAAAUGUGUGUGUGUGUGUGUGUGUGUGCAUGUGUGUGUUUAAUUGAAAAACAUGACACACAAGUUUAUUGGUAAUAAUCAUGAAGUUGCCUCUCAAUUUACGUUGAGAAGCAA
Anguilla rostrata (American eel) is the source of this 876-nucleotide long non-coding RNA. RefSeq lists it as uncharacterized. The record is from RefSeq and is a predicted model, not a curated record. NCBI's taxonomy places the organism in Eukaryota, Metazoa, Chordata, Actinopteri, Anguilliformes, Anguillidae. The transcript has 2 exons.